This 690-nucleotide long non-coding RNA is filed under the name Equus caballus (horse). Its description in RNAcentral is "lncRNA (ENSECAG00000057395.1)". The record is from RNAcentral. Lineage: Eukaryota; Metazoa; Chordata; Mammalia; Perissodactyla; Equidae.
CGUGGGGUUAGCUCUCCCGACUCUGGCGAUUUCAGUGCAUUCUUUAAAGUCCUAAACCAGCAGAUAAAAACAGUGGAAGGGCAGGACUGUGUGAGGUUCCUUAUCUGCAAAAGAAGAGAAACUCGUGCUCUGAGCCCCUGCUACCUCUCCUUCUGGACCACUUGUUUUCGAAAAGUAUAACAUGUACAAAUGUGCCAGAUCCCCAUUUUCUGUCAAUUUCUAGGAGGAUGUGACUAAGGCGCCCUCCCCGCGCCAAAGGGAAGCGCCGCGCGCAGAGCGCAGCACGUCCCGGUGCAGAAUUCCGCCUCCUUUCUCCAUCCCAGACGUGCAAGGUCUCCGCGCCCUGGGAGCCUGGGCUUCCUCAUUCUUAGACUGAGGACUUGGUGAGGCCCGCGGAGGGUCCUUCUUCCAGCUCUAAGGUUCUUGCGACCAAAUUGCUUCUCCCAGAGGAGUGUUGGGAAAUAUGACCGGCCAGGACCUUGGGGUCACCUCAGGAGAUGCCUGUGGCACUGCUGGGGGACACCCAACUCACUAACAAGGACAGUGACUAAGAGCAGAGCACUCACUGUGGCUUCCCAAACUCUUCACCACCCAGGAUAUCAUUUUAUUUUGUUCUGUUUGUUUUUCAGUCCUCAGAGACUUCACGUUUUGAAAACUGGUAUCUGUCAAUUAAAGUACAUUGAUUAAGCA